UACGUAGGAUGCAAGCGUUGUCCGGAAUUAUUGGGCGUAAAGAGCUCGUAGGCGGUCUGUCGCGUCGGCUGUGAAAACCCGUGGCCCAACCCCGGGCCUGCAGUCGAUACGGGCAGACUAGAGUGCGGUAGGGGAGAUUGGAAUUCCUGGUGUAGCGGUGGAAUGCGCAGAUAUCAGGAGGAACACCGAUGGCGAAGGCAGAUCUCUGGGCCGUAACUGACGCUGAGGAGCGAAAGCGUGGGGAGCGAACAGG
RNAcentral lists this ribosomal RNA (253 nucleotides) under uncultured bacterium. RNAcentral's name for it is "partial 16S ribosomal RNA". It matches the Rfam family "Bacterial small subunit ribosomal RNA", at positions 524 to 776 of the family's 1533-position model. The record is from RNAcentral.